This 735-nucleotide ribosomal RNA is filed under the name uncultured bacterium. RNAcentral's name for it is "bacterial SSU rRNA". It matches the Rfam family "Bacterial small subunit ribosomal RNA", at positions 28 to 764 of the family's 1533-position model. The record is from RNAcentral.
GAUAAACGCUGGCGGCAUGCCUAAUACAUGCAAGUCGAACGAAGAGCGACAAGCUUGCUUGUCAAUCUUAGUGGCGAACGGGUGAGUAACACGUAGUUAACCUACCCGAUGGCGAGGGACAACUUUUGGAAACGAAAGCUAAUACCUCAUAGGAAGCAAUUUUAAAGGAGCGUGUGCUCCGCCAUCGGAAGGGACUGCGUCUGAUUAGCUAGUUGGUAGGGUAAGAGCCUACCAAGGCGACGAUCGGUAGCCGGACUGAGAGGUUGAACGGCCACACUGGGACUGAGACACGGCCCAGACUCCUACGGGAGGCAGCAGUAGGGAAUCUUGCACAAUGGGCGAAAGCCUGAUGCAGCAAUGCCGCGUGAGUGAAGAAGGUUUUCGGAUUGUAAAACUCUGUUAUAUGGGAAGAAUGGCUGAGAGAGGAAAUGUUCUCAGAGUGACGGUACCAUAUCAGCAAGGGACGGCUAACUACGUGCCAGCAGCCGCGGUAAUACGUAGGUCCCGAGCGUUAUCCGGAAUUAUUGGGCGUAAAGGGCGCGCAGGUGGUCAUGUAAGUCUGGUGUGAAAUUUUUGGGCUCAACCCAAAAAGGUCAUUGGAAACUGCAUGACUUGAGAGCAGGAGAGGUAAGUGGAAUUCCUAGUGUAGCGGUGAAAUGCGUAGAGAUCAGGAGGAACACCAGUGGCGAAGGCGGCUUACUGGACUGCAUCUGACACUGAGGCGCGAAAGCGUGG